GCCUGCCGCCAUGCUUUGCCCGCCUCCAACCUCUGCACACGGUGGGUGUUGCUCCAGGACCGUUACUUCAGACAGGCCAUGCUGGGUCUUCGUUGCGGAGCGUGGGUCUCUCUCGUUGUGGUGAACAGCUCUGGAGCACCCAGGCUCAGGACUUGUGGUUGCUGAUGAGGAAACAGCCUGUCUGACCACAGAGCCGACAAAGGGGAGCAGGAUUUGAACCCAGAACCCCAUGAUGCCCAUCCUCCCUUCUCGUGGCCGUGAGCCUCCUGGGUGCUGGGCACUGGCCCUGGGACUCCCAUGGUCCUCCGUCCCUGGACCUCGGGCGCCCCUGGGCCGGAGGGUUCUAGAGUGUCUUCAGGACAUCGGAGCGGGGUUAAAGCAGGUUUCCUC
This is a long non-coding RNA of Bos taurus (domestic cattle), 390 nucleotides long. Lineage: Eukaryota; Metazoa; Chordata; Mammalia; Artiodactyla; Bovidae. The record is from Ensembl.